UACGUAGGGGGCAAGCGUUGUCCGGAUUUAUUGGGCGUAAAGAGCGUGUAGGCGGCCAGGUAGGUCCGCUGUGAAAACUCGAGGCUCAACCUCGAGAUGUCGGCGGAAACCAUCUGGCUAGAGUCCGGAAGAGGAGAGUGGAAUUCCUGGUGUAGCGGUGAAAUGCGCAGAUAUCAGGAAGAACACCCGUGGCGAAGGCGGCUCUCUGGGCCAUUACUGACGCUGAGGAGCGAAAGCGUGGGGAGCGAACAGG
RNAcentral lists this ribosomal RNA (253 nucleotides) under uncultured bacterium. Its description in RNAcentral is "partial 16S ribosomal RNA". It matches the Rfam family "Bacterial small subunit ribosomal RNA", at positions 524 to 776 of the family's 1533-position model. The record is from RNAcentral.